Molecule: non-coding RNA, 410 nt
Organism: Candidatus Brocadia sinica JPN1
Lineage: Bacteria; Pseudomonadati; Planctomycetota; Candidatus Brocadiia; Candidatus Brocadiales; Candidatus Brocadiaceae
Source: Rfam
AAAGUGGACAAGACGGUCGUCGGUUCCAACGCAUCUCUGAUAGAGAAGGAACGGGAGGAAAGUCCGAGCUCCACAGGACGCAGUGCUCCGUAACGCGGAGUCCCGGUGACGGGAAGGAAAGUGCAACAGAAAAUAUACCGUCCCGCCUUCUGGCGGGAUAAGGGUGAAAUGGCGGGGUCGUUCCCUGUUGAAAAUAUACAGGGGCAAGUAUCGACUUAAUGUAAGAGCCCACCGCUCCGGUGGUGACAUCGGAGGCAUGGCAAACCCCACUGGGAGAAAGGCUAAAUAGGGAGGGAUGAAGUGGUCCGCUUCGCUAGAACCUCUGGGUAAGCCGUUUGACCUCGCUGGCAACAACGAGGCUAGAUAAAUGACCGUCCACGACAGAACUCGGCUUAUAGUCUACUUAAACA